GCCACGAUAGUUUAUUUUCAAAACACUAGCCUGUGACGCUAGAAACGGAACCCUUCCCCGUAGC
This 64-nucleotide transfer RNA is filed under the name Furcifer polleni. RNAcentral's name for it is "tRNA-His". The record is from RNAcentral. Lineage: Eukaryota; Metazoa; Chordata; Lepidosauria; Squamata; Chamaeleonidae.